Molecule: ribosomal RNA, 480 nt
Filed under: uncultured bacterium
Lineage: Bacteria
Description: partial 16S ribosomal RNA
Source: RNAcentral
CACGUAGUUAGCCGUGGCUUAUUCCUCAGGUACCGUCAUUAUCUUCCCUGAGAAAAGAGGUUUACAACCCGAAGGCCUUCAUCCCUCACGCGGCGUUGCUGCGUCAGACUUUCGUCCAUUGCGCAAAAUUCCCGACUGCUGCCUCCCGUAGGAGUCUGGGCCGUGUCUCAGUCCCAGUCUGGGUGAUCGUCCUCUCAGACCACCUAACGAUCGUCGCCUUGGUGAGCCGUUACCUCACCAACGAGCUAAUCGUACGCAGGCCCCUCCGAAGCGCCUUGCGGCUUUACUGGUGUAAUCGAAUACACCACCACAUGCGGUAUUAGCCACCCUUUCGGGCAGUUAUUCCCCACUUCGGGGCAGGUCACCCACGCGUUACUCAGCCCGUCCGCCACUAACGAACAAAGCAAGCUUUGAUCGUCCGUAUGACUUGCAUGUCUCAUGCACGCCGCCAGCGUUGAUCCUGAGCCAGGAUCAAACUCU